Molecule: ribosomal RNA, 434 nt
Filed under: uncultured bacterium
Lineage: Bacteria
Description: partial 16S ribosomal RNA
Rfam family: Bacterial small subunit ribosomal RNA
Source: RNAcentral
AGCGAACGCUGGCGGUAGGCCUAACACAUGCAAGUCGAACGAACCUUUCGGGGUUAGUUGCUGUCGGGUGAGUCACACGUCGGAACGUUCCUUUAGGUUCGGGAUUACUCAUUUUAACUUGUGCUAAUACCGAAUGUGCCCUUCGGGUACAAGAUUAAUCGUCUUUAGAGGGGCCGGCGUCUGUUUAGCUAUUUGGUUGUGGUAAUGGCGCACUAAGGCUACGUUCAUUACCUGGUCUAGGAGGAUGAUCAGACACAUGGGGACUGAGACACGGCCCAAACUACUAGAGAAGGGAGGAGUGGGGAAUCUAGCGCAAUGGGCGAAAGGCUGACGCAGCCAUGCCGCGUGAAUGAUGAAGGUCUGAGGAAUGUAAAAUUCUUUCACCGGGGACGAUAAUGACGGUACCCGGAGAAGAAGCACCGGCUAACUUCGUG